Molecule: ribosomal RNA, 700 nt
Filed under: uncultured bacterium
Lineage: Bacteria
Description: bacterial SSU rRNA
Rfam family: Bacterial small subunit ribosomal RNA
Source: RNAcentral
AGUAUCUUCGGAUAUGAGUAGAGCGGCGGACGGGUGAGUAACGCGUAGGAAUCUACCUAGUAGAAGGGGAUAGCCCGAGGAAACUCGGAUUAAUACCGUAUACCUCCUUCGGGAGAAAGAAGGCCUCUCUUUGAAGCUUUCGCUACUAGAUGAGCCUGCGUAAGAUUAGCUUGUUGGUGAGGUAAAGGCUCACCAAGGCUACGAUCUUUAGCGGGUCUGAGAGGACGAUCCGCCACAUUGGGACUGAGACACGGCCCAGACUCCUACGGGAGGCAGCAGUGGGGAAUAUUGGACAAUGGGCGAAAGCCUGAUCCAGCCAUACCGCGUGUGUGAAGAAGGCCCUAGGGUUGUAAAGCACUUUAAGUUGGGAAGAAAAGUUAUUGGUUAAUACCCAAUGACCGUGACAUUACCAUCAGAAUAAGGACCGGCUAAUUCCGUGCCAGCAGCCGCGGUAAUACGGAAGGUCCAAGCGUUAAUCGGAAUUACUGGGCGUAAAGCGCGCGUAGGUGGUUUAUUAAGUUGGGUGUGAAAUCCCCGGGCUCAACCUGGGAACUGCAUCCAAAACUGAUUCACUAGAGUACGAUAGAGGGAGGUAGAAUUCACAGUGUAGCGGUGGAAUGCGUAGAUAUUGUGAAGAAUACCAAUGGCGAAGGCAGCCUCCUGGAUCUGUACUGACACUGAGGUGCGAAAGCGUGGGUAG